RNAcentral lists this ribosomal RNA (454 nucleotides) under Trifolium repens (white clover). RNAcentral describes it as "eukaryotic LSU rRNA". The record is from RNAcentral. Lineage: Eukaryota; Viridiplantae; Streptophyta; Magnoliopsida; Fabales; Fabaceae.
UGCAGAAUCCCGUGAACCAUCGAGUCUUUGAACGCAAGUUGCGCCCGAUGCCAUUAGGUUGAGGGCACGUCUGCCUGGGCGUCACAUAUCGAAGCCUCUCGCCAAUUUCCUAUAUUGAUAGGGGUAUUGUGCAGGGCGAAUGUUGGCCUCCCGUGAGCUUUAUUGCCUCAUGGUUGGUUGAAAAUCGAGACCUUGGUAGGGUGUGCCAUGAUAGGUGGUGGMUGUGUUACGCACGAGACCAAGUAAGUCAUGUGCUGCUCUAUUGAAUUUAGGCCUCUUUUACCCACAUGCGUUUCGAAACGCUCGUGAUGAGACCUCAGGUCAGGCGGGGCUACCCGCUGAAUUUAAGCAUAUCAAUAAGCGGAGGAAAAGAAACUAACAAGGAUUCCCUUAGUAACGGCGAGCGAACCGGGAUAAGCCCACCAUGAGAAUCGGUCGCCCUCGGCGUUCGAAU